RNAcentral lists this long non-coding RNA (2128 nucleotides) under Homo sapiens (human). RNAcentral's name for it is "HSALNT0077613". Lineage: Eukaryota; Metazoa; Chordata; Mammalia; Primates; Hominidae. The record is from RNAcentral.
UUUUUAUAUGCAAGCUCCUGGAAUGCCUGUGGUUUCUCCAGCACCUGGGUCCUGCUGGCAACCAGCAGCACCCAGUGGCCAGCAGCGUACUCUUUCACCUCUUCUUGGGUGACUUUGUGGAAUGCUCCAAUGUGACAUCUCCCUGUGAACGCCUUUCCUGACACCCUAAAAAGUGUCAGGAAUUUCCAGCAAGUUCCAGAGAGCAGGUUUCCAGCAAGUUUGGUCAGUAUGACACCACAGCGAUAUCUCUGCCAUUCACUGAACUUGGAUUCUUCCUUCUUCAGUGAGAGAUGUUCAAGAAAAAGAACAACUUCAGUGGAAGAAGAAGAAGAUAGGAGCCCAGGUCCUGUGUUUCACCAAGACAGCCGUGCAAAGCAGAUGCUGCCAAAAAGGUGCAAAGUGGUUUGUCAGCUCUUCUGCAUGUUCUAACAAAUUAGACAUGCAUCCCAAAAGGUUUCCUAGACUUUCCAUCACCACCAGUGAAUUCUGAGUGACAAUAGUGUGGAAUUUGGAAGAAUGGAAGAGAAACUGAAGUGGAGAGAUGGUGAAAGAGAAGAAAAAAUGAAGAAAGAUGCUUGCAAAAAUACUGCUGUGGGUCCUGAGAUGAGGAUUCUGGGAGGGCUGAAAUGGAUGCCCCUGACAGCUCCCUUUGAGUUCCUGUUCAUCUGAAGUACACCAGCUUUCUAGAUAUGCUGUCACUUUCCUUCUGCAGAGCCACAGUGGUGUCCUGUCUUCUCAGACCUCUUCUCACCUCAAAUCACUUAGGACUCGGCCACCAGACAGAUUUGGGAUUUCAGAACUUUUCAGAUGUUAGAAAGUUCUUUUCUAAAUGUGAUGAGGAAUUACGGAAUCAUAAAAUGGAAGCAGAGUUAAACUCAGACAUGUGGGCACUCAAGGCAAUUAGGAGCUUUCUGCGAUGAGAAAGGGAUCAGACUGAUCCUUAAGACUUUAUGCAACCCCAGAGUAUUGCAGCCACCUGCAUGCCGAAGGUGUCAAGAGUGUUCUCACUGCUGCCUAUAGGAGGGUCUUCAGCCUCCAGUGAUCCAAAGUACCAGGCUGACCUGUGACUGCUUCGGCCAACUGAAUAGGGAAGAGUGAUGCUGUGCUGUUUCCAGGCCUGUUCUUUAAAAGUACUUGGAAGCUUCUGCCUUGGCCUCUUUGUGCCUGAGUUGCUGUAUAAGAAUCUGACUACCUUGCUGGAGAGACCUUGUGGAGAAGACUUGACCUUAUAUGCAGAGGUAGAGGGGCCCUGGUUAGUCCAGCCAUCUAGCCAUCCUGUCAAAAUAGCAGGAGUAUGAUGGCCAAUGGAUCCAAAACCUAUCCUAUAUCUACAUGUUGGUGGCCACAUUAAUCUGACAUCUGACAGCAAGAGCGAUGAUUGGGUUCACUGGAAAUCUUUGUGAAGUACGAGUGAAGUCCUUGUGAAGUCAGAGUUUCCUCUUCAUGCCUCUACUCCUAUGCAGUUUGACCUCUCAGUGUGCAGCUGGUGAUAGAUGGAAACCCUUGUUCAUAAGCUUUGUGGCACUGUCGGCAGGAUGAGGGGACUUCUGGAUCCUCACUGGUCACUGUGGCAGAGUGGUUGGUGUUGUCUGCUCCCUAGACAGGAACCCACUGAAGAAUCUGACAUUUUUUGAUAUGCUGGCAUUCAUUGUUACAGCCCAUCAUCCCAGCCAUCAAUCCAGGACAUGGGGUCUGUGCCCACGGUGGGAAGGAGGAGGGGGAAGCUGGCUUUGUUCUGACGUUGGGCUUCUUCUGCUCCACCAGUACUUUCUGUGGGGGAAAUAGGUAAAGAAAUGGCUGUUCAGAUGAGAAGAUGUGUCAGUAAACUUUUGCUACAGUGAUGCUGCAAAACAAAUCACUGGUGACUUUCAGUGGCACACAGCAAUAAACAUUUAUUUAGCUCAGGGAUUGACAAUCUUUUUUUUUUUUUAAAGGGCCAAAUAGUAAAUAUUUUAGGUGUUUCAGGCCAUACAGUCUCUGAACUCUGAACUUGUAGCACAACAGUAGCCUUAGAUGCUAUGCAAAUGGAGGAGCAUGACUGUGUUCCAAUAAAACUUUAUUUAUGGACACUAAAAUUGGAAUUUCAUGGAAUUUUUAUAUGUUAAGAAAUAUUAUACUUUGAUUUUUU